Molecule: long non-coding RNA, 539 nt
Organism: Papaver somniferum (opium poppy)
Lineage: Eukaryota; Viridiplantae; Streptophyta; Magnoliopsida; Ranunculales; Papaveraceae
Exons: 3
Source: RefSeq, a predicted model, not a curated record
UGAAAGAGAAUACUCACAGAGAAACCCACGAGAAACUCAGGUGAGAAGAAGAAGAAAAAUUCAACCACGAACGUCGAAAAAUUCUACCCAAUUUUUCUAUGAACCUUAGUGAUUGAAAGUGAGGUGUUUGGUGUUCUGAAUUUCGUCGACUGAUAGGAAAUUUGAGAGUAAAAGAAAUGGAUUUCUUAUGUCCUCCUGAUUGAAGAUUGGAGGUAUCUCUGGCUUCGAUAGGCGAACUGCAAAGGUUAAGGUUUGAGUAGCGGGUAAAGUGGCAGGAAGCUCUGAUGUAACUGGUGUUGACACGGCUGAAGAAGAGAUUAAUGUAUGGGUCGAGUAAAGGGUUUUUAACUUGUAUAUAGAAAGGUAACUGCCGGUAACUUUUUGGGGGCAGAUCUGUGUAGGUAGAACUUGAGAGUGAUGUACUUUUGCAUGUAAGUGAAGUACCAACUAAUGUGUAGUGUAUAUUAUCUAUCUCCAACUCUUUGUAUGUAAAUAGUUAGUAAUGUACUGAAUAUAGCUAUCUUGGGUCCAGGUCUGUA